This 369-nucleotide ribosomal RNA is filed under the name uncultured organism. Its description in RNAcentral is "bacterial SSU rRNA". It matches the Rfam family "Bacterial small subunit ribosomal RNA", at positions 526 to 896 of the family's 1533-position model. The record is from RNAcentral.
CGUAGGGUGCAAGCGUUAAUCGGAAUUACUGGGCGUAAAGCGUGCGCAGGCGGUUUCGUAAGUCUGUCGUGAAAUCCCCGGGCUCAACCUGGGAAUGGCGAUGGAGACUGCGAGGCUAGAGUUUGGCAGAGGGGGUAGAAUUCCACGUGUAGCAGUGAAAUGCGUAGAGAUGUGGAGGAACACCGAUGGCGAAGGCAGCCCCCUGGGUCAAAACUGACGCUCAUGCACGAAAGCGUGGGGAGCAACCAGGAUUAGAUACCCUGGUAGUCCACGCCCUAAACGAUGUCUACUAGUUGUUGGGUCUUAAUUGACUUAGUAACGCAGCUAACGCGUGAAGUAGACCGCCUGGGGAGUACGGUCGCAAGAUUA